AUCGACGGCGGGCGGUGCGUGGGGGCCUCGUGCCCACCGGCUCAUUCAGUCCCGGGAUUGGAAACCACGUAUCGCCCGCCACCCUA
RNAcentral lists this non-coding RNA (86 nucleotides) under Stenotrophomonas pavanii. The record is from RNAcentral. Lineage: Bacteria; Pseudomonadati; Pseudomonadota; Gammaproteobacteria; Lysobacterales; Lysobacteraceae.